Molecule: ribosomal RNA, 465 nt
Filed under: Vreelandella stevensii
Lineage: Bacteria; Pseudomonadati; Pseudomonadota; Gammaproteobacteria; Oceanospirillales; Halomonadaceae
Description: partial 16S ribosomal RNA
Rfam family: Bacterial small subunit ribosomal RNA
Source: RNAcentral
CCUACGGGAGGCUGCAGUGGGGAAUAUUGGACAAUGGGCGAAAGCCUGAUCCAGCCAUGCCGCGUGUGUGAAGAAGGCCUUCGGGUUGUAAAGCACUUUCAGUGGGGAAGAAAGCCUUGGGGCUAAUACCCUCGAGGAAGGACAUCACCCACAGAAUAAGCACCGGCUAACUCCGUGCCAGCAGCCGCGGUAAUACGGAGGGUGCGAGCGUUAAUCGGAAUUACUGGGCGUAAAGCGCGCGUAGGCGGUCUGAUAAGCCGGUUGUGAAAGCCCCGGGCUCAACCUGGGAACGGCAUCCGGAACUGUCAGGCUAGAGUGCAGGAGAGGAAGGUAGAAUUCCCGGUGUAGCGGUGAAAUGCGUAGAGAUCGGGAGGAAUACCGGUGGCGAAGGCGGCCUUCUGGACCGACACUGACGCUGAUGUACGAAAGCGUGGGUAGCAAACAGGAUUAGAUACCCGGGUAGUC